AAAAUUUUGUUGGGAUAAGUUAACUUUUCCAACAAAAAUUGUUGUUAUAUCUAACUUAUCUUAACAACUAAAGUUGUUGCGAUAACAUUUUUUUCAACAAUUUGUAAUCUUUGUUAUUAUAUUUUUUUUUUCUUUUGCCCAUAAUAAAAGUUGUAGCCAUAGAGUUUAUUUAUAAGUUGUAGCCAUAUAGUUUGACAUUUAAAUAUAAAUUAUUUUCGUAACGAAAAAAAAUGAACACAAUAUAAAUAAAUUUAAUUAACAUAAAUAAAUAAAUAUCAUAAAUUUGGUUUACAUAAGAGUUAUGUUUGUUUCCCUUCAAAGAAACACACGAAUUUCUCUACCAAACUUAAAAAGAAAACAGAAACACAAGAAAAUGAGGAAAAAUAUAAAAUAAGAUUACAACAUAUAUUAAUUAAAUCUCCUAACUUUAUCUUGACCCUCUCUUCGUAAAGUAGUUGAANNNN
This 464-nucleotide long non-coding RNA is filed under the name Trifolium pratense (red clover). Its description in RNAcentral is "long non-coding RNA (TPRA_LNC009029)". The record is from RNAcentral. Lineage: Eukaryota; Viridiplantae; Streptophyta; Magnoliopsida; Fabales; Fabaceae.